Long non-coding RNA from Vicia villosa (hairy vetch), 554 nucleotides. RefSeq lists it as uncharacterized. Lineage: Eukaryota; Viridiplantae; Streptophyta; Magnoliopsida; Fabales; Fabaceae. The record is from RefSeq and is a predicted model, not a curated record. The transcript has 3 exons.
UUGGAGGAUAAAAGAGACCAUAAACAUCACUUGCAUGUGAACAUAAGGCCAUGUUUGGUGGAAGACUUACAAAAAUCAGAAUUUAUGAGAAAAGAGCUUAAGAGCAUGGAGGAGAAAGAAGAGCUUAUGUUCAUCCUUUGCAUUUUCGCAACCCAUGGACAGCCUCCACUAAAAGUGCCAUAACUCUCUGCUCACAGCUCCGAUUGAGGUUUGAAGUGGAGUGAUCCAUGCUGAGUUUGUGUGUGAAUGCAGCUGCGAAUUUGAUGAUGAAGAAGGUGAACCUUUGGGCAAGAGUGGAGUUCAAAGGCUGCAUUAACACCAUCUAAACCUCUAUUAAUCCAAGGUGCAGUUAGUAGCGUUUGGUCAGUAACAGGUUUGGACUGGAGACUUGGAAGUGGUGUUGGCUCGAAGACCUCGUUGGUUUUGACAUUCCGCUGUGCAAGAUCCAUUGAAGACACAUGUUUUGUAAUUAUUAUUAUUAUUUCAUGUUGUAAUCUAAAUGGAUCAUCUUGUAUCCAUAGCUUUUGUAUGUACUCAAUAUCAAUUUUAACGUU